This 43277-nucleotide long non-coding RNA is filed under the name Ananas comosus (pineapple). Its description in RNAcentral is "long non-coding RNA (ACOM_LNC018594)". The record is from RNAcentral. Lineage: Eukaryota; Viridiplantae; Streptophyta; Magnoliopsida; Poales; Bromeliaceae.
AUAUAUAUGUACCUCAAAUUGUUCCAUAUUAAAUGAACUAGAUAAUUACAUAACAAAAUAAAAAUUAUUAUGGUACUAAUACCAGUAACUCAAAUCUUGAUAUUUAAUGUCAUAUAAUUAAAAAAUUCAACAAGCUCUUAUUAUUGGUGAGUAUGCUAUGCUAUGAUUAUUGUGUUGUAGGUAAAUAGAAAUUCUACAGAAGAAACUAUGAUAUAUAAAUCUUGGCGGAGUCUGUAAAGUCAUUUUCUUUCUCAACUUUCUUUUAACAAGAAAAAUAAAAAUCAAACUCAGAACAUCUUGAAGAUUUUGGAGACUUAGAACCGGCUCUGAUAUCCGUAAUAUUGAAAGGAUCAAUCUAACAUAUAACAAUUCAACCGACUGUCCCUAGAGCAAGUGGCAAAGGGCUUGGUUGUUGGUAUUCGAGACCUAAGUUCGAAUCCUAAUUUUUUUUUUUUGAGAGAUAGGUAGCACGUUAGCCGCUUCGUUUAUUUCAGUUCGAAUCCUAGUUGAUUCACAUUUCCAGCUAAGUUUAUUUCUAAAUAAAAUAAACGAAGCGGGUAGCGUGCUACCUAUCUCUAAAAAUAUAUAUAUAUAUAUAUAUAUAACAAUUCAAAAUUAAAGUAGACUUUUUUUAAUCUUUUUUCUCAACAUUUUUUAACGAUUAGUAUGGAAAUUAAACUUAGAACUUCUUAAAACGGAGGAGGAUUAGAACUGUCUCUAAUAUCCAUAAUAACCAAAAGAUUGAUCAAGUAAAAAAUAAUUCAGAAUUAAUCUUAAUAAUCCCUUAUAGUUUUGCUUAUGUGAGAAUGUGAGAUUUCAAAAUGUAUCAUAUAUAUGUUUUCUAAAGUCAGAGACAUCUUACCCAUAUAGUUUUCUAAGCAUCCACAUAUACAUAAUAUAUAGGUCAAUGAUCGAACCACAUAAAUUUUUAUUUCUUAUGUUUUUGUUGUUCUUGCUUUUGGUUUAUCGUAAGAGUACAUCUUUGUGUUUUGUCGUGGUUAUCGCUUUUUCUUUUUGUUUUUUGUGUACAUGCUCCUUUACAAAACGAGAUUAUUAAGUGAUUAAGUUGCACUUUUAAUAAUUUUCAUCCAUCUGAAGUUGGUGUAACGUGCCAAUUCAAAGCCUUCUAUUUUCCAAUGUUCUUUGUUACGUGCCAAAUUCAAAGCCUUCUAUUUGACAAUGCGAAGAGAAUAAUCUAAACUGGAUCCCAUAAGAAACAAGAAUUCAUUUUUGGAAAGAGAUUGAAAAGGAAUAAGCACAGUGAGAUUCAAGAUCAAAAAACAAAUAAAAAAGAAUGUAAGGACAUGGGGAUCCAUUUAUAAACAUAGUCUCUAUUUACAUAAGCUUGAAUGACAUACGCUUGAGUUCAUAUUGAAAUGAAGCGAGAUUGGAUUUUCUGAAUUACUUAUGACAAAAUUGUCAUAAUGGAAAUGUGAAAUUAUUGAGUAGUCUACUUCCCUGAUGAAUCAUUUUAAAUGAAUUCCAUUGGACCUAGAAAGGAGACAUUGGAAGAAUCUUUUUGGUCUUCCAAUAUCAAUAGGUUGAUUGUUUCGCUCCUGUAUCUUCCAAAAGGGAAAAAGAUUUCUGAGAGUUGUUUCAUGGAUCCGCAAGAGAUUACUUGGGUUCUCCCAAUAAAUAAAAAGUGUAUCAUGCGGAGUUCGCGAUGGUGGAGGAACCGGAUCGGAAAAAAGAGGGAUUUUAGUUGUAAGAUAUCUAAUGAAACCGUAGCUGGAAUUGAGAUCUCAUUCAAAGAGAAAGAUAGCAAAUAUCUGGAGUUUCUUUUUUUAUCCUAUAUGGAUGAUCCGAUCCGCAAGGACCAUGAUUGGGAAUUGUUUGAUCGUCUUUCUCCGAGGAAGAAGCGAAACAUAAUCAACUUGAAUUCGGGACAGCUAUUCGAAAUCUUAGGGAAAGACUUGAUUUGUUAUCUCAUGUCUGCUUUUCGUGAAAAAAGACCAAUUGAAGGGAAGGGUUUCUUCAAACAGCAAGGAGCUGAGGCAACUAUUCAAUCAAAUGAUAUUGAGCAUGUUUCCNUCGAAAAAAACUAAAAUUUUAUUUCUAAGAAUUUCAUAAACCCUAGAUCAUAUUUAACGGUGUGGAUCGUUAAUUUGAACACCGUAAGAUCGAAAACAAGAAGCUCCGGUACUAUAGAUAGUAUAGUAGCCUAAUUCUAUAUAUAUAUAUAUAUAUAUAUAUAUAUAUAGUAGGGCUACUAUACUCUUAUGAGUAUUGGACCCUUCGUACUCAUAAGUUAUUUUCGAUGAUGGAGCUUCCGAAUCGACGAUCCACUCCGUUAAAUAUGAUCUUAGAGUAUUUGAAACUUUUAGAAAAUAAAUUUCGUAAUUUUUCGAAAUCAUAAUAAAGUCCAUUAAGUGAGCAUAAAAUGAUCGGUCAAAAUCGAACGACGUCCUAAAAAUAGAUGAUCGGACCUUCAAUUUAAGAUCGGAGUUAUUAAUCUAUAUCUAGAUAGUGAAUAGAAUUUUUUAUUAAAAAUUUAACCUAUUCCGAUUCUUUUGCACCGUUAAACUAGCAUGCAAGUAUCCCAUACCGGCCGUUAAAAUUUGUCAAUUUUGUGAGCUUUUGAUCGUAAGAUAAAUGAUGUCGAAAAAUUAUGAAAUUUGAUUUCUAGAAAUUUUAAAUGCUCUAGAAAAUAUUUAACGGUAUGCAUCGUCGAUUCGAAACUCUAUCAUCGAAAACGGCUUAUGAGUACGAAAGCGAUCGUACUCAUAAAAGUAUAGUAGCCGGACUCUAUAUGAGUAGGGCUACUAUACUCUUAUAAGUAUUGGGCCCUUCGUAUUUAUAAGUUGUUUUUGAUGAUGGAGCUUCCGAAUCGAUGAUCCGCUCUGUUAAACAUGAUCUAGAGUAUUUGAAAUUUCUAGAAAAUAAAUUUCGUAAUUUUUCGAAAUUACAAUAAAGUUUAUCAAGCGGGUAUAAAAUGAACGGUCAAAAUCUAACGACGUCUCAAAAAUGGAUGAUUAGAUCUUUCAAUUUAAGAUCGGAAUUAUUGAUCUUUAUCUAUAUAGUGAAUAGAAUUUUCUAUCAAAAAUUCAACUGAUUUCAAUUCUUUUAUACCGUUAAACUAGUAAAUAUCUCAUACCGGCCGUUAAAAUGUCGAAAAAUUAUAAAAUUUGAUUUCUAAAUAUUUUAAAUGCUCUAAAUAACGUUUAAUGGUGUGGAUCGUUGAUUCGGAAGCUCUAUCAUCGAAAAUAACUUAUAAGUACGAGAGCAAUCGUACUCAUAAAAGUAUGGUAGUCGAACUCUAUAUAUAAAUAACGUUUUCUCAAAAAAGCAAACGAGCUCCGUUACCAUUCAUUUAUUUUCGAUGAUGGAGCCUCCAAAUCGACGAUUGACACCGUUAAAAAUAACCUAUACCACUUGAAGUAUCUAGAAAUCAAAUUUCAUACUUUUUCCAGAAAAGCAUCAAAUUUGAUUUCUAGAUACUUCAAGUGGUUUAGAUUAUUUUUAACAGGACCAAUCGUCGAUUUGGAGACUCGAACAUUAAAAAUAAAUGGGUAGCAACGGAGUACGUCCGUUUGCUGCCGAUAUUAUUCCAGCUCAACUCUCUCUCUCUCUCUCUCUCUCUUUAUAUAUAUAUAUAUAUAUUAGUCUUUUAAGCUUAAUUAGCAUGUCAAAAUUUAAUCGGACUUUGAGGUUGAUUAGUCAAUAUCAAAUUCGAAAGCCUUCUCUUUUAAGCUUCAUUAGCGAUUCAAAAUUUAAUUGGACUUUGAGCUUGAUUAGUCAAAAUUUAAGUACUAACAACAGAGAUAAUAAAGAGUAAUUAAAGUUAAACAUGUCGACUAUGCAACUACAUAUAUGUAUCGAUGCAUAUUUGCAGUUGUUUCUUUCAAAUUUGAUGGAUGUUCUUAUUCUAAAACUCGAUUUGUUAGAAAAUAGUACAGAAAUAAUCUUAGCUUGCUAUUGUGAUGCAUAACUAUACAAUGUAUGGCAUCAAUGAUUUGCGAAGCAAGGAGAAUUAAUUAAUCAACAUAAAAAUACGACACCACAAAUCCAAAUUAAUCAAAUUUUUUUUCUUCUUACGAAAAUUUCGUUACGUAAAAGAGUUAGGGUAAUUGUUCAUUAUGAAUAAUUUUAUCAUGAGAACUUUGAGGUUCUUCAAGAAUAUUAAGAAAGUUAAAUCAUUGUGAAAUUAAUUAUUCAUUUUGCAAGCGGUUUAAUUUUACAAAUGUAGAAGCAAAUAUAUUUCCAAACUUUUUAGGGUUUGUUGUUAUUAUUGUUAGGGAAAACUUCAAGUACCACCCUUGUGGUUUCUCACUUUUUCAUUUUUGUACCCUGUGAUUUUUUUUUUGUUAUUUCCUCCACUAUUUUUUUUUUCAUUAAAUUAGUGACAAAGUUAAAACUUAGGGGUAUUAAAGUGAAUAUUUGAUAAACUAUAUGUGGGAUAUCUGAAGUUUUUUUAUGUGAUUUAAUAAAAAAUUAACAGAGGGCUGACAAAAUAAAUAAAUAAAUAAAAUCAUAGAGUACUAAAUUGAUACACUUUAAAUUGUAGGGUACUAAAAUAAGAAAAUAUAAAACCACAAGUGUGGUAUUUAAAGGUUUUCCUUGUUAUUAUUACAACAUAUGCAUGUUGUCCUUUUAUCCCAAGUUGAUUUUUGAGCAAAAAAGAUAAAACAAAAAUGAGCAUCAACUAAUUUUUUUUCACACACACAUGCAAUCAUAAUUUCGAACAUUUGAAGGGUUUAAAAAUCGAAUUUCAUAUUUUUAAAAAACUAUUAGCUAAUGCAUUAAAGUACUACCAAAUAAAUAGUUAAAAAAACAAGAAGCGUUGCGAAAAUAGAUCAAUAUUAGUGCUUCUCAAUAUAAGAUUGGAGUUGUCAAACAAAAUUAAAAUAGUGCAUAAGUAACUUUUCUAUCCAACAUAUUAUAUUUGGAUUGUUAUAUACUGUUAAACAAGCAAAAACUUAUAUUGUCAAUAAAAAAUUAAAAAUUAUCACAUUUGUUUAGUAGGUAUUUUUAAUACUCUAACUAAAUCAUGUUCAACAAUAUCAACAGUUAUUCAAACUGUUCGUCAUGUGAAAGUGUCGCGAAUCUAUAUUAAGUUCAAGAUAAUAUACCAAAAAUUUGUACGUCAUUUUUGUACUGAAGAAAAAAGCGAAAAUUUGUAGGCAGGAUUGCAUCAAAAUGUGGAGAAUAUUCAAUUAAUGUUUUAUUUUUCUAAAGUCAUGUGAGAAAAAGACACAAAUAUUAAUUGCUCUACCUGAGUAAUUGUUACAAUAAAAUUCUUCUUAUUGGCUCUUUAAUUUCAAAGGGCACAGCUAAUAUUCAAAUUUAGAUUAAUUAGUCACCUUAAUUUUGACUGCAUAUAAAACAUGCAUCAAGGUACAUGUAUGAAGAAUUUUGAUUUGUUGUUACCUACGUACGAUCACAUAUUUUAUACGCACAAAUCUUUAAACUUUGUGCAAGGAGUUGAACCCCACUUUUUGAGAUAUAAUUUUGGCUAAAUCGUGAAAAACUCUUUGCCAAUGAAGAUGUUAUAUAUAUUCAGUGGAGUAGGAAUCACGUAAACUAAAUAAUAUAUAUAGGUUAGGGCUACCGUACUUUUACGAUGCAUUUGGUGCGAAUUAUUCUGACAGAAUUACAGACAAUUCUGCCAUCAUUACUAUAUUUGGUUCAUUCGGUAUGUAAUCAGGUCAUUAACGUAACAUUACAAAUGAUGCAAAAUUAUAUUGAAAAUAUUACCGAGAAGGAGUGUGUAUCUUGAAUUAUUGAAAGCGGUUAAUCUUGUAUGUUAUAUAAAAUUACAAGUUUACACCUCUAACUACCGAAAUCUUUUCAAUAUGUCAUUUUAAAAAUUUUAAUUUUAAAUUUUAAAUUUUAAAUUUUAAAUUUAAAUUUUUAAUUUUUAAUUUAUAAAUUUUAUAUUUAUAUUUUAAAUUAAAUAUUAAAUUUUAUAUUUCUAUUCAAAUUUAAAAUUUCAUAUUUAAACAUUUUAAAUUUUAAAUUAUUUAAAAUAAAAUUUAAUAAAAAAAUUAUUUAUAAAUAGUUAAAAAAAAUUGUCAAAUAUAAGGUAAUUUUGAAAUAGACUAUACAUGCAUGUGUCCUCUUAUCCCAAGUUGAUUGUUGAGCAAAAACGAUAAAACAAAAAUGAGCAUCAACUAUUUUUUUUUUUUUUUGAGAGAUAGGUUAGUACGCUUUGAUUUAUUUAAUUAGAAAUAAACUUAGACUAGAAAUAUGAAUCAACUAAAAUUGAAUUUUGGGACCUCAAGGUAUCAACCUCAAGCCCUUUGCUACUUGAUUCAUAGAGAGACAGUCAGUAGCAUAAACUAAUAUUAGUUUUACACACACAAUCAUAAUUUAGAACAUAUUGAAAGUGUUAGAAAUUAAAUUUUAUAUUUUUAAAAAAUAUUAGCUAAUGGCAUUAACAGGUACGACAAAAAUAAAUAGCUUGAAACAAGAAGCGUGCGAAAAUAGAAUCAAAUAUUAGAUGCCUUACGUCAUAUAAAUUGGAGAUUGCCAAACAAAAUUAAAAAUAGUGGCAAAAAAGUCGUUUAUAAAAAAUAAAACGACAAUAUAUUUGGAUUAGUUUUAUAUUGUUAACAAGCAAACUUAUAUGCUCAAAAAAAUUAAAAAGUAAUCAACAUUGCUUAGUAGGGUCAUGUUCAAAAUCUCUAAAAUUAUGUUCAACAAUAUCAAUAAAUCAUUCAAACUGUUCGCGCAGUGAAAGUAGUAUGCCCCCGACCCCCGCCCCCCCCCCGGCCUCCCGCCCCGGCCCCACAGCGCCCUAUAUAAGUUCAAAUAAUAUACCAAAAUUUGACCUCAUUUUUGUACUGAAGAAAAAGCCAAAAAAUUUGUUGGCAGGAUUGCAUCAAAAUGUGUAGAAUAUUCAAUGUUUUAUUUUUCUAAAGUCAUGUGAGAAAAAGACACAAAUAUUAAUUGCUCUACCUGAAUAAUUGUUAACUAAUGAAUACCCAAUAAAAUUCUUCUUAUUGGCUUUUUAAUUUGAAAGGGCACAGCUAAUAUUCAAAUUUAGAUUAAUUAGUCGCCUAAUUUUGACUGCAUAUAAACAUGCAUCAAGUGCAUGUAUAGAAGAAUUUUUGAUUUUUGUUACUAGGAGUGUCAACCAUCCGAACACGAGCGAGCUGGAGCCUCUACGUGUUCGGCUCGUUUGAAAACGAGCCUAAUACGAGCUGGCUCGUUAAAUAUCAAGCCAAAAUAUUUAUCUUGUGUUCGGCUCGUUUGUUAACGAGCCGAACACGAGCUGCUAACGAAUAAUAAAUUAAAAGUGAUUAUAUUAUAUAUAUAUAUAUAUAUAUAAUAUAUAUAUAUAUAUAUAUAUAUAUAUAUAUAUAUAUUAAAUUUAUAUUAAUAGAAUCUUACCCAUUAUAUUUUGAUUAAAUGGUUGAAACUUUACAUAUAAAUGUGUUUUUUUUAUAAUUGAAUUCGACUUUAUAUUUUUAUUUUGCUAAAAAUAAAUUAGUAAAAAUUUAUAUUAUAUAUAUAAUUAUUUAUUUAUAUAUAAAAUAAAUAAACUAAAUGAAUUAUAUAAAUAUAAAAUAUAUGUAUUCGAACUGUUAUCGAGCCAGACACGAGCGAGCUGAUCCCAGCUCGUGUUCGACUCGUUUAUUAAACGAGCUGAAAAAAUUUAGCUCGUGUACUUUGGCUCGUUUACAAAACGAACGAUUCGAUUUUGAGUUUAUUUUGAGCCGAACACAAAUUGGCUCGUGAACAGCUAGCUGGAUUGCCACCCCUAAUUGUUACGUACGUAUGAUCACAUAUUUUAUACACAUAAAUCUUUAAAAUUUGUGCAAGGAGUUGGAUCCCACUAUUUGAGAUUUAAUUUUGGCUAAAUGGUGAAAAACUCUUUGCGAAUGAAGAUAUUAUAUAUAUUCAGUGGAGUAAGAAUCACGUACGUAAACUAAAUAAAUUAUCAAUAAACUAUCAAUUUUGAUAGUUCUGAUAAGCGAGGGAAUCUCUUUUUAUUUAGUUUUAGCUCUAUUAUAUAAAAUUAUAAUCUACGCGACAUAUAUACAAACAAUUUCAGUGAUGUUUAACAUCUGAAUAUAACAAUCUCACACAUUUUUGAAUUUCGACCUAUUUGAGACAAAAAAAAAUGCAGGUCCAAAGUUAAUAUAAUACUUUUUUCUUAAAUUUCACCUACUUACAUAGUAUUUAAAUCUAUACAUGUUUAAAUUUUAUACGUUCUCGAUUUAUAACUUUAGCGGCGAAAAUAACGAAAGAGAAAUGAAGCAAUAUUACCAGGUAUUUUAUUCACAGCAUUGUUAAAGGAAAAGGGGAGAAACGAGUAAAUAAAAAAUAACAUGGAUUUGGUGAUUAAUUUCAUUGCUUUUUUUUUAAAAAAAAAUUCUUGUAGUAGAGAAUUCCACAAGUUCUAAAUAUCCAAAUUGUAUCUUACGUACUCUCUUUUUUCUUGUACCCUUUUCUCUUCUUAUUCUAAAAAAAAAACAUUAAUUUAAUUAUCUAGAUUAAAAAGAUCAUUGUAAUUGACACCAUUCAAACAUAUCAAUAAUUAAUUGACUCACAUGUUACACAUGUCACUCUCAUUUGGUGAAAUAAAAGGUAUAUAUUAAAUAUCAGCUAAAGUGAAAGAUCUAUAUAAUACAAUAAAUUAAACAAAAAUUAACGGCUCAGAUUGUGUCUUUGUAUUUAAUUAUAUAUAGUAGGCAUGCUAUCGUUUUCUCCCUUUCACACAUUUUGUUACACAUAUACGUUUAAAAAAAAGAUCCAAAGUAAAAGUCUCCUCUCCAUAAGCUUGUCAACCAAGCAUUACAUGUAAAAAAAAAUUUAUACAUAUAUAUGUAAAAUAAUCAUACCCCUCAAAAGAAAAAAGAAAAAUAAUUAAAUAUAUUUUUAAAGUCCUUUUUUUCUUAAACUCCUCUUUUUCUGAUUUUAACCCUUGCAUUGUUUAAUAUGGAGCAUGUAUAAAAAUCCGAGGGACGAAAACAGAAGCGAUAAAUUUACUGCUUUCAAAAUUCAGAUCUUUAACAAGGAUUUUAAAAAAAAAAAUGUGAUUCUCGAAACUUUAGAGAGAGAUAGAUAAAUAAAUGGGCAAAAAUGGCAUUUAAUAAUAUAACAUAAAUAAAUUUCCCACCUUUUUGGGCCAAAUUAUUGACCUUGAACAGUAUAUAUUACAUUCAUAACGUGAAGCCGUGUUGGUUUAGUUUAUUAUUCCUUGGUUGCUUCCGCGUGCUCAGCACCCAACCCGGAAUAAGCGCUUCUUGAAUCAACGAGCUUAUAAUUAAGAGGCAAAACUUCAAAUACUAUUCAGAUAGUUUCAUACUUUCUCAUUUUAAUACUUUAUAAUUUAAAGUAUAUUAAUUUAGUAUCCUAUAAUUUUUUUUUAUUUUUUUAUUAUCGAUUUCACCAACUUUUUUUGUUAAAUCAGUGACAAAAUUAAAACUAAAAGAUAGUAAAGUAAAUAUUCAAUAAAACUAUAUGAGAUAUCUGAAAUUUUUUGUGUAUAAUUUAAUAAAAUAUUAAAAAAAAACUGACGAAAAGAUAAAAAUAAAAUUACAGAACAUUAACUUGACAUAUUUUAAAUCACAAAAUAAUAAAGUGAGAAAAUGCGAAAUGACUAGAAUGAUAUUUAAAGUUUAUUCUAAUUAAGAUAUAGUAGCGGCCGCAUGCUUUUACCAAAACGGCUUGGCUCAGAAGCGAUUCAACGUACGGCUUUUUGGGCCCCUCGUUUUGAAGAGAUCCAACGUUUGUGUGUUCGAGCUGCCUCUGCAGGUAUGUUGAAUGUGAAGUGGACUCUAGGUAGGGACGCAAACGGGGCGGAUCCGGAGAUGCGAGGGUACUCCACCUCCCUUGUUAUUUUUUUGUUAGGUUGGAAUUGAUUCAGAACGAGUUGAUUUUUAUCAUAUUUAUUGUUCUAACUUAUAGCUUUAUUCAGGGCCGAACGGAGCGGGAGUAUUGUAAAGCGAAUUUUGAUAAAUUGGGAUUGAUCAAACGAGAAAGAGAUCUUCCACUUUUUACUCUAUUUGUUUAAUGAAUCAGAAAAGAUUUGAAAGUGGACUUUUUUUCAUACUGUUGGUCGCUAUUUACUGUUUUAUACAGGACGGAUGCAAAUUGGAGCUCCAUCAAUCUAAAUCCAUUUCGAUCCCUAGCUUGGUCUCGUACAAAUCAUUAAUUUUUCUUGCUGCUCGAAUAGAAAACUAUAGAGAAAUUAAUGACGUGUUUGAUUCGCUUCUUUUUCAUCCUGAAAUCGGAAUCGAAAUGGGUGAAUUCGUUUGUGGAUGUUUGGUACGCGGGAGUCCCAUUCCGAUUCCGAUUUCCGAGUGGAAUGGGAAUCCCCUAAUCACCUCUUUUUUCAAUCCAGCCUAGGAGGCGGGAUUGAAAGUUGAAUCCGGAUGGAAUGAAUAUUUAUUCGGAUUAAAUUUAUUUUUUCAAAUUUUUUAAUUAAAAUAUGAGUUAGAAUUUAAAAAUUAAAUAUAAUAUUUUAAAUUUUAAUUUAAACUUAAAUUAAAAAUUAAAAUUUAAUCAAAUAUUUUGAAUCUAACUUAUAAUUUGAAUUUAAAUUAAAUUUUAAUUUAUAUAAAAUUUUAUUCAAAUUUUAUUUCAAACUUAAAUUAAUUUAUGGAUUCAAAUUAAAAUUUAAAUUGUAAUUUUAAAUUUGAAUUUGAAUAAAUCAAAAUUUAGUUUCAUAUUUUGAAUUAUCCACUCAACUUCAAAGUUUAAUUUUUUUAAAAAAACAUAGAUUUAAAAUUUUGACAUUAUUUUAAAAUUUUGAUGUAAUUUUUUAAUUUUUAAUAUUUAAUUUGAAUUUAAAUUAAUAUAUUAUAAAGAUAAUGUUAAUAUACUAAUUUGAUUACGUUUUUUAUAUCCACAUGAACCAAACACCGAUAAUGGAAAUGAUUUAUUUCGAUUCCGAUUCAGGUGAUGAACCAAACAAAAUUAGGUAAUGAGUCAUUCCGAUUCCGAUUCCAGUUUAUUUUGAUUCCGAUUUCGAUUCCGACUCCGACUUCGAACCAAACACGCUCUAAAGGUUGAGUUAUUUAUAGACCGGGUCGUGGGUCCAUGAGGUCAAGAAUUCGCUUCCUACUUGAUGCUUGCACCAAGUAAAGCACGUGUCUCUGACUUUCUGAGUCAAAAUUUGUAUAUCUACUGAGAGGGUGUUUCGAGGAAGGGUUCAACAUGCGAACUGCGAAAAAAAAAAAAAAAAAACAUAAAUUAAUUAAGGAUAAAGUAAACAACAACUAUCUUGAACAACUGGCUAUUAAUUAAAAAGCUUUUCAAAAGCUGUUUGAACCCAUGCUAUUAGGUUUUACUCAAAAGUGGUUUGGGUCCCCCAUUUCCUGCCAAAAAAAAAGGAAAAAAAGAAAAAAAAAAAGAAGAAAAAGAGAGAGAGAGAGAGAGAGAGAGAAAGAGAGAGAAGAGGAGCUAAUGGAUUUUCAAAUUGUACUUUGUUGUCUUCUUUGGUUCUUAAGCUUAGCAAAUGAUAAAAAUAUAUGAAUCUUAAAAUAAUAAUAAUAAUAAUAAUAAUAAUAAGCUUACUUAUGCCAUGACUUGUUUUGAGAGAGCUUCUUAAUUUGACAAAUAUAAUUUUGUUACGCAAAAGAUGGAUCUGGUGUGCACGAUAGAGAUCAUUUGGAUCACGGCGACAUCUAUCUAUUACUUUCUAUUAAUUCCCAAUAACAAAAGCUGAGGUGGCAUGAUCUCUUUUUUUGAGAUUUUUUUCUAAUUUUUUUUUAUUUUGAUAGUUAUUGUUGCAUCUAUUACUUUCUAUUAAUCCCCAAUAACAAAAGCUGAGGUGGCAUGACCUCCUUUUUUUAGAUUUUUUUCUGAUUUUUUUUUAAAUUUUGAUAGUUAUUGUUGCAUUUCAAAUUCCACAUAACCCUCUACAUUUCAUACUAGCCGUUUCUAUUAGCAAUUAAUUUUUCUAAAUUAGAAAAUGGUUCCUCAUAAUUGCAAUUGAUAAAUUAUUAUAAAGUGUGAUAAUUAAUUGUCAAAUUAUAUCAUCUAUUACUUUCUAUUAAUCCCCAAUAAUAAAAGCUGAGGUGGCAUGACCUCCUUUUUUGAGAUUUUUUUCUGAUUUUUUUUUUUAUUUUGAUAGUUAUUGUUGUAUUUCAAAUUCCACACAACCCUCUACAUCUAUUACUUUCUAUUAAUCCCCAAUAACAAAAGCUGAGGUGGCAUGAUCUCCUUUUUUGAGAUUUUUUUCUGAUUUUUUUUUAUUUUGAUAGUUAUUGUUGUAUUUCAAAUUCCACAUAACCCUCUACAUCUAUUACUUUCUAUUAAUCCCCAAUAAAAAAAGCUGAGGUGGCAUGACCUCCUUUUUUUGAGAUUUUUUUCUGAUUUUUUUUUUUUUUUGAUAGUUAUUGUUGCAUUUCAAAUUCCACAUAACCCUCUACAUUUCAUACUAGCCGUUUCUAUUAGCAAUUAAUUUUUCUAAAUUAGAAAAUGGUUCCUCAUAAUUGCAAUUGAUAAAUUAUUAUAAAGUGUGAUAAUUAAUUGUCAAAUUAUAUCAAAAAAUAUGGUCCAUCUUUCUUGCUUCAUAGAUGUUGUCAUUUCUUACCGAGAAAAACCUUUCCAACUUACCAUAUUUUUUCUCAUUAAAUUUUACAAAUCAAUUUAUUAUUUCUUACUAAUUAAUGAUCCACUUUUUUUUUUCUAAAACUACAUCUUAUUUAGUAACUAUCACGAAAUAUUAAUUAUAUUAUUUAUAUUUUUAAAAUUUCGUUCAUCCUUCAAAAUAUUUCAAGUUAUAUAUACAGUAACUCAUUUGAUUCUAUAAUUUUUCUCUCACCCUCUCUCCGUUAGUUUUGAAGGAGAUGAGAGUGAGUAAAGCCUGGAAAAGAGCAGGUCUGAUUGUUAUCAUAUAUAUUUUAAAAUUUUAAUUUUUAUUAUUAUUUUUUAUCUUAAAAAAUUUAAAAUUUUAUUUCUAUUAUCUAUCGGCCGCAUCGCGCGGGUCUGUAUACUAGUAAAAAUUUAUACCACCAAAUUUAAAAUAAUAUAUUUUAAACCACAUGGUAGUAAAACAAAAAAGUGCAAAAUUAUAGUAAUUAAUUAAGAGACCCGCGCGAUGCUGUGGGUAGUUAUUUUAAAAUUUAAUUUUGAAAAUUAGUUAUAAAACUAGGCUGGAAUACUAUCAAUAACACCAAACUAUUGGUGCUAUUGAUUUUUUAGUCCUUGGAUUGAGAAAUGGGUGGUUAGGAUGAUGUGGGCCCUCUAGGGUUGAGUGAGUGGUUGGUUGAAUAGUAUAAUCUAACGGAUAAAAAUAAUCAAAGAUUUAAAUUAACUGUGGAAAAGCACUCGAUAGCACCAAUUCUUGUGAUAUCGAUAGUACCCAGCGGACUCUCUCUCUCUCUCUCUCAUUUGCAGACAGUAGACCGGAGUCCAUCGCCACAUCUCUCAGUCUCUCUCUCUCUCAUCUCUCUCUCUCCCUCUCUCUCCCCCCUGCUUCAGGUUUCAGACUCCGUGUCUAAGGGCAAGCGCCGGCCCUCAGAUUCUCUCUCUCUCUCUCUCUCUCUCUAUAAUAUAUAUAGAGUGGGCUGGUAUGCUUAUGAAAGCACGUGAGCCCUCCGUGUUCUAUAGUUGUUUUCAAUAUUCGGACUUUCGAAUCGACGAUCGCUCCGUUAGAGUUGAUCUAGAGUAUUUGUAUACUAAAAAAUAAAUUUGCGAUUUUUCGAUAUCAUUUGCCUAGUGAUCGAAGGGCUCAAAUCAAUAAUUUUAAUGGCCUGGUGAGCCGUUGCAAGUUUAACGGUGUAGAAAUAUCAAAUCAUAGGAAAUUUUGAUAGAAAAUUCUUUAUACAUAUAAAACAAGAUCAAUAACUUGAUCUAAAAAUUUUAAUGUCAUAUCAUCAUAUUUGUAAGAUUUUUAUUUUCAACCCGUUGAUUUUGAGCCACUUCGAUCACUAGGCAAAUGAUAUCGAAAAAUCGAAAAUUUAUUUUUUAGAUACUUCAAAUACUCUAGAUCAAGUCUAACAGAGCCGAUCGUCCGAUUCGAAAGUCCAAGAACCAUUGAAAACAAAGUAAAGCGCGGAGCCCUCCGUGCUUCCAUACAAUCCUACCGCACUCUAUAUAUAGAAUAGAGGAGGUCCACGUUGAACUCCCUCUGACCCUGAAAACCCUCAUAUGAGCCCGCUGUUUUUCCGGUCGCGCAAGAACGCUGCGCGCCGCCGUGCACCCACACGCCGCGCCGCGCCCGCCAUGCCGGCGGCCCACCGCCGUUGCCGUGUGCGCCCGCGCCCGCGCUGCCGCAGUCCCACUGCCAGCUGACGAGACUGCCCCACGUCAUACCGCAUGCCGCGCGCCCGCACCUCCUUAGGAGCGGCCUCCGCGUCGCCCGCAGUCACGCCAGCAGCGCCGGACCCCCUCGCAGCCCAGCGCCACGCCUGCGCGCGCCCGCUCCCACUUCGCGGCUCCCUCGCGCACAGCGCCCGACCACACGCAUGCCCGCCUGCGCACACUCGCCACCCCCCACGGCCCCAGCUCGCGCCGCGCCCACUCCCGCUCGCAGCUCCGCCCAUGCGCCGUGCCCUCGCCCGUGCCUCGACCUCCUCGCGACACGUGUGCAGUUAUUGAGAAAUAAUAUAUAGUUAUAAAUUAUAGAUUAUAGAUUAUAGAUAGAUAGUAUUUGCAGUUUAUGGUCAAUACUAAGAGCCGAAAUGGGACCAUGUUUUGUUUUGAUUCAUCCGCUUACUUAGAAAUGUUCAUAUUCCGCGUAUUUUUUAACAUAAAUUAUUAUUGUAACGUGAAGGCCCACCAUACAUUGUUUUUACCUCACUAACCAUCACCUCAAUUAUUAUAUCUAGAAAUUAAGGACGAAAAGAAGAAUAUUUUAUUUUUGUCCUUACAAAGUAGUUAAAUUUUUUACUUAACACAUAAGUUUCUGCUAAAUUAUAUGAAAUAAUUAUUGUUUUUUAAAAACCUAACUUAGUGAAGAGCAAUACCUCACAAAGAAAUAAACUUAGCUGGAAAUAUGAAUCAAUUAGAAUUCGAACUUGGUCUCGGGCACCAACACCAAGCCCUUUUGCCACUUGCGUCAAUGUUAAAUAAUAUAAAAUAAUUUUUGUUCUAAAAAUAAUUUAAACUAGUAGAGAAUGAUAUUUUUAUAUUUUUAACGAUUCCAUUCAACCUUUAAAUAAUACUACAGAUAUUUAAAUCCUACAAUUUAUCUGUUUUAGGGUUUACGGUCAAGCAUUUAAAUUCCCCAUGUUAAGUUUAGUAGGAUUAGUUGGCCUCUUAGACUAACAGAAUUGUUUUCUAUUUUUUUCUUGUUGAAGUCAUUGAAGGAUUUUUUUUUUUUUUUUUCUCAUUGUCGUUUUGAAGUUUUUUUCGUAGGCUAUGUACACAUACAUUAUGGGGACUCGAUUGGGCUCUUAAGUCACCACCAAAACCAAGCUAUGAAUUAGCCACUUAAUUUUUAUUAUUUUUUUUGUACUAUAUUGUAGUCCUUUCAUAAAAUAUAUACUUCUCUCCUCUCCAAUAAAUAAUUUAGCGUAAAUAUUAUUUUCAACAAUUAAUAUUAAAGCUCGGAUGAGACGGAGUCAAACAUAACCAUAUUAUAACAAAGUAGGGCGGUGAAUCAAAGUAAAUAUUGCUUUUAAUAAUUAAUAUUAGAAUGAAUAAUAUAGUUAAAUUAUGUGACAUGAACAUUUUGUUUAGUUUAUUCUUUUAAUUAAUUUCAAAAAUUUAUGUGUAUGACUGAUAAUCAGUGUGAUCAAAUAUUUAGAAUUGAAUGUUAUAUUCAGCUUUCCAAUCAGUUUUUUGAAUGAGAUAAAUCAUCAGAUAACUAAAAUAUUGUAUCCUCUAAAAUUAUAGAUAACUAGACUUUUAAACGAGUGAAAAUCAAACUCCUUAUAAUUAUACUAAGAAAUUUUUAUAGGGAAUAAGUUAUCCUUGAAUAAUCUAUUUUGAUAUCCAAACAAGACUUAAAAGCUUAAUUUACAAAAUUAGUAUUUUAAAUAUUUACAUUAAAUAGCAGUGACCUAGUGUUUUACUUGAAUUUAACUUAGUAUUUACUUUGUGUAUGUGUUUGAGAGAGAGAGAGAGAGAGAGAGAGAGAGAGAGAGAGAGAGAGAGAGGCUCUUCAGUAGAAUCAAUGUUUUGAAAACCAACUUGAUCCCUCUACCGAUGCAACAAAACAGACUCCUGCAAAUGGCGGUUGACUUCCAACCAGCUAUUUUCUGUCAAAUCUCUCUACCGAUUUAUCACAAUUGCGGGACAAAUAAACCCGAUAAACGGCGAUAUCUGGAAGUUGAAAAUUCCACUCAAAGUCAAAGUCUUUACCUGGCUGCUGCUCCGGAAAAGACUACCCACAGCCGACAGACUGUCCAAACGGGGCAUAGCUGUUGAUCAAUACUGUGUCAUCUGUGUUGUGCUAACGGAGAGCUGCGACCAUCUUUUCUGCAACUGCGUCUUUGUUAGAUACCUCCUCCUCAUUGCAGGCGGGUGGAACACACCUGGCGCUAUACCUGGCGGCACUCCUGGUGACGUUCGCAGCCUCUGGACAACUACUGCCACCACUUGUGUCGAUAUGACGAGAGCAAAAGGACUUACGCUACUAGCAGCAAUCUGGUGGGUGGUUUGGAGGGAUAGAAACAACUCUGUGUUCCAGGCUUUCCCGACCAAUGCGAGCCGGUCACUAGAACGGGUCAACCUCCUGACGAACAGCUGGGACACGCUGUGCUAACGGGUCGCUAGCUUUCUUGUCUCCCUACCCCCCUCUUGUUUUUUGUUUUUUCAUUCUUGCUCUAUUUUUUAUUUUUUCCUCGCCCUAUCUUCGGAGGCCUUAGCUGCUUCCAUCAUGUAUGCUCAGUUCAUUUUAUUUAAUGAAUGAAGCAGUUAGCUUGCUACUUUUUCCUCAAAAAAAAAGAAAACCAACUUGAUCAAACAGUAGAACCAAGUCUAUGGAAUUGGAUCUAUCAUUAUGUAAUUUUCACAAUAAAUUAAAAUUUAGGAUGAGGUUUGAAGCAGCUGUAUUUAAAUAUGUUAAAUGAAUCAAGCUGAACACUUUGCGCAAAUCAUCUUGGUUCAUUAAAUGUACUUUAAUUGCUUCCUCCAACCAAGUGUAAGGGUUAAUUAAAUUAAAUUGGAUGGAUGUCACACCACUCCACAAAAAGUUAAAGCAUUGAACGCCUCUUAGUUGGUUAGGUCAUCUCUAUUAUACUAUUGCUGAGAGUGGGUGGUAUUGGAUCUCUGGCGCUAAUCAUUAAUUUACAAGAAUUUACAUUUUAAUUAAAAUAUAUAGAUACAGCGCACACAAGUUUCGAUUAUAAUUUGUUCCAACACAUGAUUGGAUGCUCGUCUUGCUAAGCCAAUAGGUGGUAGCUCCCAUUUAUGCAAUGUAAUUUGAGAAUAAAUUUUGCUUUAAUAUCUUAUUUAAUUUGGUCGGAUAUACUAAAAAAGUAUUGCAGUUAUAAAUAAUUUAUUUAGUUACAAGUAGUUGAGAAUUAUAUUUAUAAAUUUUAUAACUUUAUAUAUGGGAUUGUGAGAUUAUUCUCAAUAUAGAUAAAAGAAAUAUUUUUCUACUUAAAAAGUGAUUAGAUAGGUUAACUUUUUUUUAUUAUUUAAAAAAUUGCUCUCUCCAACUGUUGCUAUUUGAACUAUAGGUAAUUUUGGUAUAAUUUCAACUACUGUAGAUGAUACUCCUUUAAAAAAAAUUAUUUUCUAUUUUAAAAGGUGAUUAGAAAGGUUAGUUUAUUUUUUGUUUAAAAUUGCUUAUUUUAACUACUGAUAACCGUGAACAAUUUUGAUGCAGUUUUGACUAUUGUUGUUGAGCAUCUUUGUGCAAUUUCAAUUACAAUAGUUGAAUUCAAAUGGAUUAAAUGAAACAUCGUAUUUGAAUUUACAACUGUAGUGCGGUUACAACUACCUACAACCAAGCAGUUGCUAAGCGGAACAUAUGCGAGAGUAUGGCUUGCGGUCAUCUUAAAAUAAACAUAUCUAAGCCAGAGCUAGGCUUUUUAUCUGAAAGAUAGAAUCCAUCUCGAGUAUAUAUCAACAUUUCAAUGACCAGCCAAAAAAAAAUUUCUAGCAAAUGAGGUGGAUUAUGCGCAAUCGGUCCAAUUUUCGCAAGUUGGACAAAGACUCAAAAUCAACGGCUCAAAAAAAAAACUGCUCUAAGCCCUAUAGCCCUUUUGAUGAUUCUGGGAGUAUGUAUUAUGCAUGGUCCACCAAUUCGCACAUAUUCGAGUAAGAUACAAGUUUUACGGUCUCAUUAAGAAAAGAAGUAUAUCUCUAUAUACUUUAUUUCUAACUCCUUUUGGGCGAGAGCCCUUGAUACUUUCCAGAUCCGAAUCAACAAUAACACUCUUUACUAAUUCUCCAAUAAUAAUAAAUUGGGAAGUACAUAUUUUCAGAAAAGAAAAAGAAACACCUACGUCGUACAACAAUCUAAAUUUAUCUACAAUUUUUGGGCCUGAUCUGGCCCAAAUAGUGUCACACACUUUCAAAAUUCGGCCCAAUCAAGAAGUUUGGGCCGGGCCGGGUUGGGCCGAUCGGGCCCUUUGAUAUCUUUUUUCUUUUUUAAAUUUUUUUCAAAAUUAUUCUCCUACGACUAUGAAAAUUUGGAUUAAAAUUGUACAAUCUAGUAACUUUUCUUUUCCCCAAUUGACCAGUAACUUUUAUUUGGUGUAAAUAAUUCACUAGUUUUCUGAAACAACGUGUCCUAUAUAGUUUGAUUUGGCGCAAAAAUUCCCAGGCUCAUUUUACCAAAUCAAUUUUUUUGUAAUAGUUAAUUUUUUUUUUGCACCAUGGCGACCUUUGCAGGCCAAACUGCAAGGAGAGUUAAAAAAAAAAAGGAAAAAAGGUAAGUAGGCUUUUUUUUUUUCCAACCAAAUUAACUUGGUGGAUUAAAGUGCAAUUACACAAAAAUUAACCAGUUCCUAAAUAAUGGCCACAAAACGCCACAUAAGAUGCAAUAGGCCUAAUCCGAAGUUGUAUGGAGUCUAUUUGCGCGUGAAUCACUGGAGAUCUUUUGACUGCAUAACAGCAUAAGCCUCCACUAGCGAACCAUUACAGCUAUAAAAGGUUGUCGGUGAUGCCUAUAAACCCACUUAGGCUUAGUUUGGCAUUGAAGCCUAUCCGACACUAUUAGAUAAAAUAAAGUUGGGACAAAAAUAUAUAGAAAUAUACUUAUGCAUUUUUCGGUGAAAUCGCAGAAAGUAUAUCACAACCGACUCAUCAUAAUAUUCAUUUUAUGAUAUACAAUACGUACGAAAAUAAAUAAGAUAUUUUUUUUUAUCGUACUUUCUCAAUGCACAUAACACAAUCUUCUCGUACUAAUCAAUAGUGGUCCAGAAAGAGAGACACAUAGUUCGUAUAACGAACAACCACUGACAAGCAACAACUCUCUUGGAAAGGACAUCUAAUGUGCCUAAUGCCCAUAAAAGGAGGGGCAAUGGUCAAUUUUCCGGAUUGGAAAUAUGCACUUUGCCCCCUCCACUUUAGUUCGUCUGUCUGGCAUUAGCGGUGUAACAAGUGAAAGCAUUACUUUUUGGUCCUGUUCAUGGCAGACCUUCAAUUAAUAUUGGAUGAUCUCACCACACAACUUGCGAAAUCUUCAUCCCAUCUAGAAGUUGGCGUUACGUUUGGAGGCAAACUUGUUAUGAAACUAAAUUAAAUUAAACUUCAAAAGAGUUGAAUUUAAUUGUAUUUAUAUUUCCAUGUUCCCAAAAUGGAUGUGUCUCCGUUCUCCAUGCUCCAAGCUGUGAAUUUAAGCAAAAUCAUAUUUAGGCAUCUAAAUUUCAAAUUUGAGGUUCCAAAACAAUGAAUAAGAACGAAAAAUUGAAGUGUCAAAAAAAUAUAACACAAUCGUUUGUCCCUAUAAUCUUAAACUUUCAAAAAAUACAGUCAUUUUUAUAUUUAUAUUAAACAUUUUUCUUCGUAUCCGGAUUCAAUAGUUUUUAGUUGGCCCAGGUCGGAAGAUUCAAACUCAGCUUCUUCAGCUCUAAUACCAAAGUAAAAAAAAUGUAAACUGAUAUUGUUUACAAUUGUUCUUUUUCCUCAACACAAAGUAAUUUUUCAUAACACAAUUGUUCUUUUUCCUCCACGUCCUUGCUCCAAGAAAGAAAAAAGAAAAAGGAAAACCCCAAAGUAGGGAUGCACAUGGAGUAAGGCAUGUGGAAAUCCCACUCGGUAGAAGCCGAAAAUAAUAAAUAAAUAAAUAAAUAAAUAAUCUGUUUCGAAUUUACUUCGAUCUACUAAGAAAUAGAGCAGAAAACGAAAAAUUCUUUUUUUUUUAAUCUGUUUCAAUCCACUCAAAACUCAAUGCUCACCCCACCUGCCCUGAAUAUAGAAUAAGGCGGUGAAAAAUAGAAUAAAAAAUUAAUCUUCUGAAUUCGGCCAAAUCUGUAAAAAAAGCAGAUAAUGAAAGAUCUCGCCUGUCUCAGAAUCCGCAUGGUUUGCAUCCCUACCCAAUAUAAAAGAAUACGACACUAGUGGGUAGGUCUCAAUUAACUAUCGCGACUACUCACUCUCACCUUAUCUUCACACGAAUACAUCAAAAUUUUCCCGUGUGCAUCUUUAAAUCUCCACCGUCCAAUCAAUCAGCCAAUAAAAUGAAAAUGAAUUCCUAUCCUCAUCCGUGACGUAACCAUUGCUCUGAGAUGACGUAAUAGUUGGACCCCAUCAAAACAAUCUUGUUCUUUUUCUUUUUUCUUUUUUCAUUUUUUUUUGGUUUCUAGAAGCUGGAAUAAUCCAAACUAGACGCACUAUAUCGCGAAGCAAAUUUUUUCCUUUUUUUUUUUUUUCCCUCACGUUGUAAGGGGUGUUGUAGGUAUUUUGUUCUCAAGAGAGAGAGAGAGAGAGAGAGACUUCGAGGAUCAAAAAAUAUAUAUAAAUAUAUGCUGAUAUUUUUAAAAAAAUUUUGCUUGUCACAAUCAAGUAACUUGAUAACUAAGCAUGUAGUAGUCGCCGAGGAUUGUAACCUUCAACCAUUCUUGUAAAGCAAGAUAAAUGGAUGUUACUGUUUUUUUCUUUUUACGAAAUUAAUUCUUUAGAUAAUGUGACAUCAGAGAUCUUUCUGUUUCCACGUAUCAUGAGUUUGAUUCUCGAAUAUCUUUUAUCUGUUCAGUCGCUGUGCGUAGUAUAAUUAACCUGAUAUCCAUCGAUAUGUGAUUGUAAUUUUAGGAUCAAUAACCGACCGUCCCUAGAGUAAGUGGCAAUUGGUUUGAUGGUUGGUGCCCGAGACCCAAGUUCGAAUCCUAGUUGAUUCACAUUUUCAGUUAAGUUUAUUUCUAAAUUAAAUAAACGAAGCGGGUAGCGUGCUACCUAUCUCUCAAAAAAAAAAAAAUUUAGGAUCAAUAACGAACCCUUUCCUAUGGUGUAGAAGAUACCAAAAAAGAAAAUAUUGUUUCAUCUUUUGAAAUCAUUAUUGUUUAUUUAUUUUUCAUCAUAAAGUUGUUCAUUAUUAAUAUCUAUAGAGUGAGUAACAAUUAUGUUAGUAUUGUUUAGAAGAAAAUAAUACUUAGUAUCCCAUCAGUGCUAUAUGUAAAGUUCGACUGGGAUACUAUCAAUGGCAUUUGGACUUUUUUGUUAUCGAUUUUUUAACCGUUAGAUUUAGACUUUAAUCAAUUCCAUCAUUUAGAUCAUAUUACUCAACCAACCACUCACUCAACCUUAGGAAGACUGCUACUAAACCAUAGAAAACUACUAUCAUCCAAACCUUACAAUUUUUCAUCUAAGAAUUAAAAAUUUGAUAGCAAAAAAAUUCAAAUACUAUUAAUAGUAUUCCAGCCCCCAAUUAUAUAUAUAUAUAGUAGGUCUUGUGUGCUAUUAGGAGCACGGAGGCCUUCGUGCUCCUAAACCGUUUUCGAUGAUGGAGCUUUCGAAUCGACAAUCGGCUCCACUAGACUUAAUCUAGCAUAUUUGAAGUAUCUAGAAAAUAAAUUGUGUGGUUUUUCGAUAUCAUUUACCUAACGAUUAAAAUGGUUCAAAAUCAAUGGCAGAAAAUAAAAAUUUCAUAAAAAGUUGUGAUAUAGAACUAGGCUAAUAUACUAUCAAUAGCACCAAGUCAUUGGUGCUACCAAGUUUUUGGCCAUUGGAUUAAAAGAUGUGCGGUUAGUAUGAUGUGGGUUCCCUAGGGUUGAGUGGGUGGUUGGUUGAAUAGUAUGAUCUAACGGGUGAAAAUGAUCAAAAAGGUAGAUCUAACGGCAGAAAACUUAGUAGCACUAAGGGCGUGUUUGGUUCGCUUCUUUUUCACCCUGGAAUCGGAAUCGGAAUGGAUAAAUCCGUUUGUGGGUGUUUGGUACGCGGGAGUUCCAUUCCGAUUCCGAUUCCCGAGUGGAAUCGGAAUCCUCCAAUCACCUCUUUUUUCAAUCCGGCCUAGAAGGCCGGAUUGAAAGUUGAAUCCGGACGGAAUGAAUAUUUAUUCGGAUUAAAUUUAUUUUUUCAACUUUUUUAAUUAAAAUAUGAGUUAAAAUUUUAAAAUUAAAUAUAUAAUUUUAAAUUUUAAUUUAAACUUAAAUUAAAAAUUAAAAUUUAAUCAAGUAUUUCGAAUCUAACUUAUGAAUUUGAAUUUAAAUUAAAUUUUAAUUUAUAUAAAAUGUUAUUCAAAUUUUAUUUCAAACUUAAAUUAAAUUUAUGUAUUCAAAUUAAAUUUAAAUUGCAAUUUUAAAUUUGAAUUUGAAUAAAUCAAAAUUUAGUUUCAUAUUUUAAAUUAUCCACUCAACUUCAAAGUUUAAUUUUUUUAAAAAAUAGAUUUAAAAUUUUGACAUUAUUUCAAAAUUUUGAUGUAAAUUUUUAAUAUUUAAUUUUUAAUUUGAAUUUAAAUUAAUAUAUUAUAAAGAUAAUGUUAGUAUAUUAAUUUGAUUACAUUUUUUAUAUCCACCUGAACCAAACACCGACAAUGGGAAUGAUUUAUUCCGAUUUCGAUUCAGGUGAUGAACCAAACAGAAUUAGGUAAUGAGUCAUUCCGAUUCCGAUUCCAGUUUAUUUUGAUUCCGAUUCCGAUUUCGAUUCCGACUUCGAACCAAACGCGCCCUAAGUGCUUCGUGCUAUUAAUAGCAUAGCAGGCGGUCUCUCUCUCUCUCUCUCUCCCUCUCUCUCUCUCUCUCUCUCUAUAUAUAUAUAUAUAUAUAUGAGUUGAGCUGGAAUGCUGUCGGUAAUAAACGGGCUUCGUUGCCACCCAUUUGUUUUCGAUGAUGAAACCUCCAAAUUGACGAUCAGCAUCGUUGAAUAUAAUCUAUACCACUUGAAAUAUAUAAAAAUCAAAUUUCAAAUCUUUUAGACAUCAUUGACCCAAUAAUCAAAGGGUUUCAAAAUUUGUAAUUUUAAUGGUUGAUAUGAGGCGUUUUUUCGUUUAACGGUGUAAAGAUAUUCAAAUCAAUUGAAUUUUGUUUAGAAAAUUCUUUAAACUAUUUAGAAUAAGAUCUAUACUCUCGAUCUUGAUUAUAAAAUUCAUAUCAUCACUUUUUAAAAAAUAUUUUUCAUUUAUGUGUCUACUUGAUGGGCAAGAGAACAAUAUUAAAAAAUCAUGAAAUUUGGUUUUUAGAUGAUUCAAGUGGUAUAAAUUAUGUUCAACAAUGCCGAUCGUCGAUUUGGAAGCUCUAUCAUCAAAAAUAAAGAGAUGGCAACAGAGCCCAUUUGUUUCCGAAAACGUCCAAAUGUAAUUCCCAGAAUUUCAAGAUACUCUCCAUAACUCCUAACCACUUUCGACCAUUUGAGUUUUUAAUAUAAAAGUAAAAAAAUGAUUAACUCCUAAAAAAAGACUUUUGAAUCACAGGAUAUAAAAUUUACACUUACUUAUAGGGUAUAUAUACAGAGUGCAUUAUUUUUGAAAAAAAUUUAAAUAUAAUUAAUUUACGUGGUUUUCUGAGUGGGAUAAAUAAUGCUCAGUCCAUUUCAUAAACACAGGAGUAAAAAUAAUAAUAAAAAAAAUAAAAAAGAUGGCCUAAUUAACGGUUUUUUCAACAGGCGACAAAAAGAGAAAAGAGAAAAACGCCAAAAAGCGUCCAUAUAUUCUAUGCAUUUCUUAUCCAAUUUGAAGCAGUCAAAAACUCAAACCCGUUGACCUUCUCAAAACUCCAAAGUCUACCCUCCUUAAUUACUUAAAGGAAAAAAUAUGCAUGAUAUAUACUCCAAUAGAUUACUAACUUUAUCCGUAUGCAUGUGCUACAACAUGCAAGAAAAAACUUCAAAUACCACUCCUAUGAUUUCAUACAUUUUCACCUUAGUACCAUGUGAUUUAAAAUGUAUCAAUUUGGUGUUCUGUAGUUUUAUUUUUAUCUUUUUAUUAUCGAUUCCACUAAUUUUUUGUUAAAUCAAUAACAAAGUUAAACUAAAUGGUAUUAAAGUGAAUAUUCGAUAAACCCGGGUUAUCUAAAAUUUUUUGUAUAUAAUUUAAUAAAAUAUUAAGAAAAAAGCUGACAAAAAGAUAAAAAUGAAACCGCAGGGUACUAAAGUGAGAAAGUGCGAAACUACAGGAGUGGUAUUUAAAGUUUAUCCAGAACAUGUACAAUAAAUGUUUCUAAACUCAAAAAAAAAAAAGGUCAAAUUGUUGCUCUCAUGUAUUGUUGAUCGGUUGAUACUAAUUAAUCACGCAAAAUGAGUGUUUUUUCUUUUUUUUUCACAAGAAUUUUUAGUGCCAAAUGUGCCCUUUUUACUUUCACAGUUUGGUUUGUAGAAAAAGAAAAUAUAAUAUAAUUUUGCGAAUAUUUAGAUGACACAAUUGAUUAUUUUCUCUUUACUAUAAGAACAAAAAAGUCCUAAUUUUCCUACAAAUUUUUUCCAUGUUUCACAUACAAAUUAACAAAACCAAGGAACAAAAAUUUUAGCAACUGGAGAAUUCAUGGCCACUGAUCACAAGUAUAAUUUCAAGUAUUUUCAGUUGUAUUUCUUAGCUAUAAAUCACAUUCUAAAUCUACAUAAAAUUGUUAUAAAACCUGUGUGGCAUGCCAUUACAUAACAAAAAAGGUUUUUAUUUUUUUUAUUUUUUUGUGUAUUACUAAAUUAAACAUCAUUACUACCAACAACAUGUUUGUACAUGGUUCUUCACAAAUCACUAUAAACAGGCCACUACCUAUAUAUAACAACAAUAAAUCAACUAUUUAUAUUUAUAAAUCAAAAUCGUACAUAACGCGACCCAAAUUGAUUGUACAAUCAUAUAUACUGCUAGGGUUUAAGCCUAGCAGUUGGUACCACCCGACACGCUCGAAGGAGAGGUUGCAAGUUGAGACAUAGUUGCGGAACUAAUACACAACAAUCAUAUAGUUUUUAAUUUUACUCAAAAUAAAAAAUUAUUUCUCAAGAAUCAAGAAUUUAAGUGUCCGUCAAUAUGAAUCAUACAUACAGUGUAAAGAAAAUAUCCACACGGUAUAAACCCUAUGUUGAUAUGAAAGCUUAGAAAUUUUUUUUUUUCCUUUAAGUUAAUUAAUAGUUAUCUCAAUAAAAUAUAAAAGAUUUGAAAAAAAAGAUAUAUUUAUAUAAUAAGUAAACAAAAUACAUUGGUGCGAAGAAAUAAAUACUUUAUGUAACAGUGUAUUGGUACACAAAUAUUUUUUUUGUGAUCGACACACUGUUUCAUACCCUAACAACAAGUUUUUCAUGUGAAUCCAUACCAUAGCAUUUAAAUCCGUGUCAACAACCACUAAAUUAUUAUCUCCCUCAAAAAUAUAUUACUAAAAACAAUAUAAAUUAAUCAAAUAAAUAAUAUAGUAGCAUUUGGUCACCUUAUUUUGAGACAUCAAACUUUAAUAUUCGAUGUAAUGUAAUUUUUGACCCACAAACACGCAUUUUGUUCUAGAAGCAUGGAGAAUAAUCUAGUAAUUAAUACCGGUUUUUUUAGCUAGCAUCAACGAAGUAUAUAUCAUCACAUCACGAAGGCAAAUCCUUUCCGUAUUAGAGUUCUCGACUUAAUAAAUUUUUCCACGAGCCGUGAUUUCCGUGAUACGCUUGCGAAUAUAUAUAUAGUAUUCCACGUGUUGUACAGUGUACUUGAUUAGAUACAACCAACGGCGUUGAUUCGCUUAAAAAUGAAAGGUUAACAUAUGAGCCAAUAAGAACUCGCCACGUAAUCUUCUAGAAAGGGCACAAAAUCUCACACGCUCGCAUACGUACGCGGUUACACCGCCACACGUGUUUGCCUCUCCCCCAAGGAAGCGGAAGCGUCAACCGCCACCCCACCACCCGAAACCCAACACCGGGAUUAUUAGCUCAACGCUUACCUCAACACCCCUCCGAGAUUGUCCGUGAACCGGGUCCACCGUGAACCGAUGAGUUUUUACAAAUUAGUUUUGAAUUACUGAAUGUAUUCUUAUUUGUUCAAAUAUGGAUGCAUUAAUGAAAUAUAAUGUUGCUUUCGUGAGAAGAUCAUGGUUUUUGUAUUUGUAUCAUGAAUUUUAUCUAAUUACUAAUUAGUAUAGAUUAUUGAAUUAUAUGAUGUGACUAUAUUAAUUUAUAAAUUAUAUAGGAACAUGCGUUACCAUUGAGUAAUGCUUUUAUAUAAAAAUUUUUAGCUACUUAAAAUAAUAUGUGAAGAGAGAACGAUCAUAUUACUAUUAAAGGUGAUCCAUUUUUGUUCUUUCUCCUAGGAAAGCAAAACUCUACUUUUUAAUAAUAAUUUUUUUCUAAUGUAAUUAACAAAACAUUUCGCCACAUACUAGAUGAAAAAUACUAUUAUAUUAUAAAUAAAUAGUACAAAUUACUUUAUGUUAUGCAUGUCGUUUUCGAUAAUUGAGCUUUCAAAUAGCUAAUCAAUACUAUAAAAUAUGAUUUACAACAUUCGAACAAUCUAAAAAUCAAAUUUAGAAUUUUUUUAUAACAAAUUACAUACUAGUCGAAAGAUUUAAAAAUAAUAAUUUUUAAUGGUGCAAAGCAAUCCAAAUUCAGUAAAUAUUUAAUAAAACAUUAUAUUCAAUAUCUAGAUUAAAAUUAAAAUCUUUGAUUAUGUCAUAAAAUUCCAUUCUCUAUUUUUAUAAAUUAUUUGUUUUUUGAUCAUUUACUUUGUUGAUAGCUGAUAUAUAUAAAAAAAUUAUAUUCAAAAAUUAUAAAACUUUAUUUAUUAAAUUAUUGGAAUGCUUUAGAUCAUAUUUAACAGCUUUCACUGACAAUUCGUAAGCUCGAUAAUCGAAACGAAGUAUAGAUAGGACAGAAGAUUUGUGCUAUUUAUAGCAUAAUAGUUUUUUCCCUAAUUAGAUUUUAAAAAAUCACAUUAUAUAUAUAUAUAUANUCUUGCCCAUUUAUAUUUGGAAGUCCACAUUUUGAGUAACAUUAGGCCACCGUUUGGUUGGGGGUUAAGGGGUGGAAUAACCCCUUAACCCCUAAUUUAUACUCAAACACCACUCUUUUGGGGUGGGGUUAGUAAACCCCACCCCAAACCGGAUUAGUGGGGUUUACUAACCCCACUCCCCCUCCCAACUUUAACCCCGCACGCAUCCCGAGCCCUCACAAUUUUUUUCUUUAUCAAUCAUUAACCCCACUCCCCCUCCCAACUUUAAUCCCGCACGCAUCCCGAGCUCUCACCUUUUUCUUCUUUAUCAAUCAUUAUCUUUUUAUCCCACCUACUCCAACCAAACACUUUUUUUCACUAUCCUAUACUAACUCCAAUCUCCAACCAAACACAAAAAAAUUUUAACAUCAUUUUAACCCUGAACUUAACCCUAUCCCUGAAAUAGCUACUUUUUCUUAAUCCCGAACCAAACGGGGCUAGAAGAAUAAGAGGCAUGUAUAAUAGUCUAGCGCAUGCUUAGAUGGUCUUUAGGAUUGGACCUUCGUAGGCUGACGUGGUGGACCUUGUCCAGGGAAUAACAUUCUCGCAAGUGCCUCAUCCCUUCGAUGUGCCCCUUAUUAACGCCGCACACAUCUCUCUCCUCUCUCUAUAUACUCUCUCAGAGCGCGCACGGAACUAAAAAAAUUCCUAUAGUUAUUAUUAUUUAUCCAACCCAUCGGAAUAGGAACAAAGAAGAGAGAGAGAGAGCGCGCGCGAGCGAAACGAGGUAGAGAGAGAAAGGAAGGGAGAGAUGUUGGAGGAGAGGAAACGAACCCUAACCCUAUCUCCGAGCUUCAGGGAGGAGGAUGAAGAAGAAGAUGAGGGCGAUCGCGCGAUCUCCGCCGCCCAUCACGGCUCCCCCCAGCAGAUCUCCGCCGUUCCCGCCCUCCCGGGCGACUCCCGAGGCGAAGUCGGCGGCGGCUCCGGCGACGACGACGACUUCGAGUUCUCCUUCGCGAUCGCCGCCCCGGACUCCGCCGCCCCCGCGAUCACCGCCGACGAGAUCUUCUCCAACGGCCGGAUCCGCCCCGUCUACCCCGUCUUCGACCGCUCCCUCCUCCUCGGCGACGACGACGACGACGCCGAUCCGCCGCCCCCGUCGUCGUCCGCGGCGGCUGCAGCGACGGCGGGGCCGAGGCCGGGGGCGAGGCUGCCGCUGGGGCGGCUCCUGAUGGAGGAGCGGAACUCGUCGGUCGGGUCGAACUCCUCGUCGUCGUCGUCGGCGGCGUCGGAGCCGGGCGAGCUGGAGGGGGUCGCGCCGGAGACGUACUGCUUGUGGACGCCGGGGUCGGCGCCCAAUUCUCCGGCGCGGUGCCGGAAGAGCGGGUCGACGGGGUCGAUCGUGCGGUGGCGCCGGAUCAGCGAUCUCGUGAUCGGGCGCAGCCGCAGCGACGGGAAGGAGAAGUUCCUCUUCCUCCGAAACCCCAACCCUAACCCUAACCCCAACCCCAGCCCCGAACCCAAGGCGAAAGAGGCGAAAGAGGCGAAAGAGGCGAAGGGGAAGGAGAGGAAGGGCGGUAAGGUUACCGAGAUGGAUACGGUCACCGCCCACCGCGUAUUAUACUACGGAAAAGGCGCGAAGGGGGGUCGGAGAGCGUCGUUCCUUCCGUACAAGCAGGAUCUCGUCGGAAUAUUCGCCAAUGUGAACGGGGUUAGCCGAGCCCACCACCCUCUCUAAUUUUUGAAGGGGAAAAAAAAGAAAAAAAAAAACUUUAAAUUAUUACCCUGCUACUACUAUUAUAAUUAUUUUCCAUUUGUUUAUUAGCUGGAGAGCAUGUGGUGUCGGUGAAAGUAUACAUUUCCCUUCUUUUCUUUUUUUUUUCUUGUUUCUUUUUUUUUUUUAGGAUUCAGAUGCGUGGAAGAGACUGUUCAUAUUAGGAUCUUUUGGGCCUCAUAUAAUAAUAAUAAUAAUAAUAAUAGUGUAAUAAGGGUUUUGUAUAUAUAUAUUUGUGUGGAGUGAAUUAACUAAUCUGGGCUUUUGUGGAGUAUUAAUGAUUCGUGGAACUUGGAGUCCUCUUCUUUGUUGUAUAUGGAACUUCAUAUUGUAUUAAAAAUGGCGGCAAAUUUUGUAAUACAAUGCAUGAAUGAGUAUUGUUGCCAUAUUUUAUAUAAUUUUUUUUUUUUAAUCUUUAUAUCCUUGGCUAGCUUGUAAUAAUACAAUUUUGUUGUUUAACUUGAUAGUGUUAUUGAUUUUUAGCAAGUAUUUUUAUUAUUAUUAUUUUAACAUCAAGCAAGGCUUAUAGAUUUAUUGAUUGCUAGCGUUUGGCUAAAUCGACUGCUGAUUCUAAUAUAUAUUCUAAUGUGUUUAAAAAUAAAAAAGUGAAAUAAAGAUAACUAAAAUCAAGAAAAAUAAUAUCAGAUCAUUCUAUUUACCGUGCAUGUAAUUUUAUAAUUCGUGUUAUUCACGCGGUGAACGUAAGAUGGAGUUAUUUUUAUAAUUCGUGUGUGUCAUUCACGUGAUGGAUGUCAGUUGGAGUAAUUUCAUAUUAAAUACUGUUCCUACCAAGUUCUUGCUCAUUUUUAUUCAUUAAUUAAUAGAAGAGUGAAUUACAGUUUUGGUUCUCAAAAGUGUGAGGUGCGAAGUAUAAUUUUUAACUUGAAUUUUUAAAAUUAUUAUAAUUUAAAUCUCACUAAAUUUAAAAAAAUUUAAACUAAAAAUUAUAAUAAACUAAAAUUUAAGAGCCUAACUGUCAUCCUACUAAAAAAAAGGUGCAAUUUACUUUCAAUAAAAACAUAAAAGGUGAAACGCACCGCACAUUCUGAUCAGCCACAUGAGAUUUUAUUCCUUUUGUUAUGCCUAUGAACAGGAGUGAACACAAGAGUCAACCCUAUUCUGAACCCCAAAAACAUGCUAACUACAGCUACAUGCCAAAAAUUACAAAUAAAUAACAUAAAUAAAAGGGUGCGGUAGACCAUGACACCAUGUCGGUUCAAGGAACAGGGAAAAUUAUUUUGACUUUCACACUCUUUGGAGAACAGUUGAAUCCUCCUCCAUUUGUUCUCAUUAUUAUAGAGAAUAGAGACAACCUAAAGAUGCAGCUCAAAGAAAAUAGGUCUACAGUACCAAGUCCAUCACAAAGUCUCCUUUUUGUGCCCAAUUUUGGAUUAAACUGCAUAGAAAUCGCAACUUAGUCCCCGAACUUCUCACUUAAUUCAAACCUGACGGUCGAAAAAGAAAACGCAGGGACUAAAUCGCGAUGUAGGAUCGGUACAAGGAUUAUCGAUACAUUUUACCCUUCCAGAUGCUUUUGCCCAUCUCCUUCCUUUGAAUAUUCUAUGAGCUGAGAUGUGAAAGCUUGCCGAGCCCCCGUUUUUCACUUGGGUGAAAAAUAAGUACACAUGGAUAGUUGCAUUGCACCUAAUAUUUGGAGAUUUUGGAGUAGGUUUAUGUUGACAUUGUAACUUUCCACGCUUCAAGUCAUGUAGACUUUGUAAAUUAUGAUUUGUUAAAAUAAGCCUUUGUAACGAACUUAAUUGUCGAAGAUCGUGCACUUGAUUCUCUUCGUUCGCGAAAAUUUAACUGCGCCCUGCGUAUCAUGCAUCCGUGGAUAGAAAAAUACUUCUUUUUGUAUCGUCUGUUUGAUCUGGAAUAUCGAUCUAGGUUUUCAAAGCUUAUGUGUUUUUAAUAUGCGAGGGUUUUAAUUAAAUGAUUUGGAUUUUAAAACAUAUAUUAGCAAUCUCAUACAUCAGGGUACAACCAAUAAUUAUUUUUUUACUGGUUUUAUGACCUGAUCAAAAUGAAGAAAGAGUAAAAGAGCUGGUGAGUUAAUUCAUACUACACAGUUUUUAAGUGAGAACUAAUCAAAACCAAAGCUGUGGGUUUUACCAACAUAUGAUAAAAUAAAUUUUCUCUGUAUUUUUUUUCAGAACUUUGCUUUCUUGGAGAUCAUGUAAUCUUGGAGUACUAACAUGUGGUAGGUGUAUAAAAAUACGACAGUAACCCUUUGUCUUACUUAAUGUGCUGUAACAUGUAUUACAAUAAAAUGAUGUAUGGUCCAUAGUUUUUAUCCAGGCAUUUGCCUGUCCCCAUCCACUUCAAUCAUCCUCAGGUCAAUUUGAAGCUCCCUAUUAGUUGUCUCAAGUACUGUUUUUUCUUCUUUUUCUUUUUUUUUUCACUCUCUUUUUUAAUAACCGGGUGAUUUCUUCUUUUUUUUUUUUUUUUUGUUUAACACGUUAUGAAAGAUAAGCUUAUUUUUUUUGUUUAAAAUUAUUCUCUCCAGCUACGACAGUUGGGCCUUCUCUACUAAUUACAACUGCAGCAGUUGAACACAAAUCUAUAAAAUUAAAUACUGAAUCUUGAUCUACAUGAAAUUACAACCACAGUACAGUUUCAAGUGAUUGCAGCCCAAUAGCCUUUAAAAGUAGAGCAUAUAGGAAAGGGGAAAAAAAAAUCUAACGGAAACUUAAAAUGCACAACAUCUGCUUAAAAAAUAUAGAAAAAUUUUCAAAUACCACCCCUGUGGUUUCAUACUUUCUCACUUUAGUGCCCUGUGGUUUAAAGUGUAUCAAUUUAAUAUUCUGUAAUUUUAUUUUUAUCUUUUUAUUAUCGAUUUCACUAAUUUUUUUUAUUUAAUCAGUAACAAAGUUAAAACUAAAAGAUAUUAAAAUGAAUAUUCGAUAAACCUAGGUGAGGUAUCUGAAGUUUUUUUUUAUAUAAUUUAACAAAAUAUUAACGGAGAAGCUAACGAAAAGAUAAAAAUAAAAUCAUAUGACAUUAACUUGAUACACUUUAAACUAUAGAAUACUAAAGUGAAAAAGUACGAAACCACGGGUGGUAUUUGAAGUUUACCCAGAAAAAUAUACACAGAAAAAAAAAACGGGUGGUAUUUGAAGUUUACCCAGAAAAAUAUACACAGAAAAAAAAAAAAAACUGCCCUGUUUCUUUUCUUAAAUCAAUUCAUUGUUCAUUGUCGACUAGUCCCCUGGAAAGCACCAAAAGAGCAAUCAAUUUGAUAAGAAAUGGAAACAAGAUAGAAAUGGAGACAAGCAGGAGAGCAUACAAUGCACCAUCAUUUUCAGUUUAAGAGGUAACUCUUGCUGAUUAAAUUAAAUACGCAACUAAAACAUUAUAUCAUAAACAGUCCAAAAUUAUAUCAUAAAGAGUCCAGUAACUUUUUAUAGAGAUAACACAUCGUAGUCUCUGAUCUCUUACUACCGCAAAUUAAACCACUGUUAUUGCACAGCUUCCUAACAGCAUCCCUGUUUUCGUCGACUAGAAGAUGCUAUUUAUUAGCAGACCACUACCUCCACAUCACUUAAGUUUUCACAAUUCUAAGUCAAGCUAAAGAAACAAAAUUAUACAUAUCUUUAGAACAGAAAAUAGGAUUACUAUGUACACAACUCUCUAACUGAUCAACCCAAAGGGAACAGAAACAAACUUGAGCGUACAGAAAACUAUAAAUAGAUAUGCAUCAGUCAGACGUGAUAACAUCUACCGUGGGGAAGACGAGCGGAGGUCGAUAAUCUCCAACCGCAAAUUAUGGUUAAUGUAGAUGUUGCUGCAGCAUUCGAAAAGAGGGCUUCCAUCAGAAGUAUCCGGGUGUGAAUGAAACCCGCUUUCCUUGCACUCUUUUAAAAUGGCAAUCCCUCCAGGGUUUGUUAGCCGGAAUAUUCCAUAGUUCCUGCAGGGGUUUCAAAGAAAAUAAGAUCAUCAAAUAUUCUCAUCCAUUGUUCAUUUUUAGACAUGGAAGUUUGUCUAUCGAGAAAACUAGAGUGCACCGAUUAAAAGUCGAAUUUUCUGAACCUAUACAGAUAAGCACAUUCUUGAAGGGUGAUCUAGAGAGGAUGUUAGAAAAGGUUGAAGACCUUGAUCUUUAAAAUGCAUGUACGGUAUUUGGACUACUAAGAUUUGCAACUCAGAUUAUAAAAGAAAAGCAUCAUAUUAAGUAUCGGUUUCGACCAUACUAGAGAGCAGCUUCUCCACUCCAAGAAGCAGUAGUCAUGCAUUUGGCGACUAGUACGUUCAAAGGUUUUGCUACAGCAGAUCAAGCUCCAUGUCAAAAAUUUUGUUUACGUAAUAAUAAAAGGCCGCUGAGGGAUACUAGCGAAAAUUUUAUGGUUUUUUGAACUGCUUUACUCAGGACGAAACAAUACAAGUAGACUUAUUUUGUUCUGAGUACACAUUUUUCACAUCUACAUAUCAAGAGGGAAGAUGGGAAUCAACAUGCAUUGAAAUGUCCCAAUCUCUUUUUUGUUUUCUUUUUUUUAUAAUUGACUAGGGUCUCACAAGGCUUUCAUAAUGUACAGAUCCUUAAAGUGAGGAGAAAUCCCUUGCCUUGUGGAAUCAGUUGGAGCCAUGACAAUCGCAACAGCCUCUGGUAGCAUGACCUGUGACAGAUAUGAAAGUACAUACAAAACCCGAUAAGGUGAGCAGAUAGCUCUUGACAAGAUGCAACAUCAACUUCUAGACUUGCAACGAUUAUGCUCGCAGCAGAGCAUCGUCUUGCUUUUGCAAUAGCAAAGAGAUGAUAGGGAAGAAGGCAAUUCUUUAUUUGUUGAAAACAUCCUGCGUAGAAAUAGUAUAAUUGUAAUUUUUGUCUCGAAAAGAGAAUAACAACCAACGUUCCAAAACCUGGUAAGGGUAUUGCGUGUGCAAAUCGAUUGACGAUAGGAAGCAUGUCUGAGAGGGAUGCGUCUGAAACAACAGAGGAAAAAAAAAUGUUCAGAAAAAUGAACAUAGAACUGAAAGGUACCAUUGAUAUUUUCCACAAUUAUGGCAAAAGGCACCCAAUCUGCAAUAUAAAAGUAGAAAAGCAUAAAACUAGUAGUGUUAUCUUUAAACAUUUGCUUCACAUGGAAUGAAAGAAAAAAAGAAAAACCUUGGUUGGGUGCAUCUAAGUAAAUGGAUGUAUCCACGAUGGAAUUAAUGUAAUCUUGUGUUAAUACUUAAUAGUCAUGUAUAUGUAGUUAUAGUUAACACAUACCUCUGUACAUGUCACAGACUCACAAUCUGAAACAAAGUCAGAAUAUAGUGUCGUACUAAGUUUGUUCGCUAGCAUCAGUGAGUGUCUUAUGUUCUUUCGCCAAAAAUAAAAAGUCAAAACAUGGUUUGAUUAGUCAAAAAUAAUAUGCCCAAGUCGACAAUAAUUGUUUAUUACGACAAAAGCGGAAAAAAUCUAGUUCGCCAGGUGCAAAAAUAUGAAAAAAAAAAAAAUUAAGAAAGAAGAAAAAUAAAGCACACAAAUAUUUACGCAGUUUGGUUGCUGACCUACGUCCACGAGCGAAGAUAGAGCAGAGACUUAAAUUAAAGCCAAUGUGGUGUACAAAAGAUGUCUCUUUCACAAAACUUUAGUUACAAAAUACAUCCUAUAUUCUCUCUCAUGCCCCGCACUAAAUUAAUGGAACAAAGGGUAUAUUUACAUUAGUGACUAAAAUCCAAUAAGACUAAAAAUAAUCUCAAUAAAACUAGGCAUAUUUAACUUUAAUAGGUUGACCAAAACAGAAUAGGUUAAGAAACCUAACGGUUUAAGAAUUCGAGACAUAUAUAACAUUGUUCAACUUCUACUAGCCGUAAGCCCCAUUGCUCACAAUUGUUUGUCAGACCUCUAUUGGAGCAUAGAACAAUUCUACAAGAUACAUUCGACAAUAUCAGUUUGCUCUCUUCUCUAUGACUUAAGCCAAUCCUUCUCAAUUCAACAUGAGAAAACACAAAAUCAUCAGUUUAUAUGGUUUGCCACCGAUAACAGUCCCUGCGCACUUGUACUAAACCACAUCCUCCCAUUAUCCGCUUCAAUGCUUUAAAAUUUUAACAUCCCACUGAAAAUAGAAUAUUUGAGAUAUCAUAUACAAAACCUUCCUAAUGACAGUGCAAAUUUACAUGACAUUUCAUACCUUUCUGAACUAGCAAAGAUUUGCCAAUCAAUAAGACUUCAUUAUCCUUUUCAUAUAAAAUCAGACCACAUUAAUUGAGCAUCAUUAAGAACUAGCUUCUAAUCCAUAAAUAUCAUGUCAGGGACUCGAAAAGAAUUACUAAGCAAGUUCACACAGUAAUGACUAGCGAAAAGGCCAAAUGUAGAAAUUGGAGAGCUCAAUAUUGGGAUAUUUACAUGUAUCCAUCCUGCAGGAAAGAGAGAUUCGCCAUCCAGUAUUGCAUGUAUCUCCUCCUCAUUUAAUGCCUGGCACUGCCAUUUAGUACAAGAACUGUAAUUGCUCGGACAUUUAUGGGCAAAAUGGGGGCGAAAAAAAAGAGAAACUGAUGAGAAAUAAUUUCAAGAACAUUCAAGACAAAAUAGCUCAGAAUAUUAUGAAUACCGACAUACUGAAUGGGCAGUUGUUUCUUGCUUUGGUAUUAUUAGGGUAGUUACAUAGAAUGUUCCAUUCUUCUGCAAGACAACCGAAAUAUAUGUUUGAAAUAUUGCACACUUGAGAACCAGGACUAUGAGAAAAAGUAAUAAUCUUCAGUUUCUUACAAGGAAAGCACCAAGAACCCCACAAGUCUCCAGAUUCUGGCUUGUAUUAUCUCCGGCAAGUACCAUAAAUUCUUCCAUCAAUCUUGCCGACUGAAAAAUAAAUAGACAGUUACAAUAUAUUGAUUCAAGGGCCAAAGUUUCAUGCUGAUAUGGAAAACUUCAAACUAGCCAGCUUCUGUAUUGCUCACCAUAAGUUGUAAAGCAUUAAUAUGCAGUGAUUGAAGAGAACAAUGGCCUGUUUGGCCUGGCUAGAGGUUCUGCAAAAGUGCAGUUGAGUACAGCUAUUUGAAAAGGCACUAAGUAGUCUAUUUGGGCCCACUUUUGCUCUUGCUUUCAACUGCAACCACCUCUAGUAGAAUACUUGGCAAACAAAAGAAUGCAGAACUUUUGUUGCGGAUGGAAGUAGAAUUUCGAGCCCCAAAAGCAAAAGCUCCAAUUCGGAGCUUCAAAUUCUACUAACAUAGAGAACAUUAUGAGGGGAUUAUAAUGAAUGCUUCGCCUAAUAGCUAAACUCAAUUAGCAUUUCAACGAACAGCAGUACCAUACAAGAGAACUAAACAAACCCUAACAGCUUUUUCACUCGGCAACGUCACUUCCAGCAUAAGCAGAAGAUUUAAAUUGUUUCUUCUACUUUUGGGGGGUCCAAAAGCUCAUUUAGCUUCUCGCCACAUCAAAAACUUCAAAUAUAUAUUAUUCGCACAGCCAUCCAUCUGUUGCUUCCCAGGUUGCAGAGGCGGUUCUGGAAGGCAAGCCAAUCAAUUACUAGAAUAAAUGUAAUAAACGACCACACUCACUAUAUGCAUAUCACGAAGAGCACUGGAAUUUGAGGACUCGGCAGAUGAAGUUUCCAAAUACUCAUUUCUCGAUUCAGGUUGAAUGACAAGGGAAACACGGCCAACAGGUGGGAAGUCCUCUAUACAGGAAUCAAUCGGAGGAUAGUGGUGCUUAACAGCAUAAACACAGAUAUCACGAUCUCUUGCCAUUGUAACAGCCACUUGAAAGGGAGUCUCUGUUUGUGUACAACAAGCCUUGGCAUCAGCUGCUGAAUUCGGUGACACCUCGACAUUAUCCGUGCUUGUAGUGUUCUCAAAACUGCCAUUGUUUUGCAAUAUAUGAGUAAUUGGUAUCCAUCCGUAUGGAUCGCAUUCCAAAUACAUAUAAAUGGCAGCCACAUAGAUUUAGUUUAAUUCAGCAGAAAAAGGAUAUUCUACCGUUUACUCUGUUUUCUCCUUGAACGGCAACGCAGCACCUGUAAACAACGCUAUAUUAGCACAUAGAACUCACGACAAAAUCAAAAGUCAAUACCAGAAGAAAAAAAACUGCUCUUUCUGAUAUUUAUUAUGAUAACAGUCGCGAUAAAACACAAAAAGAAAGCGAUAAUGAAACAAAGCUAUCACCUUGAAAAUACCUCCCUCUACUUUAAUAUCACUACAGUUUCCUUUUAUACUAUCAGGCUAUGCUAAGAUCAUUCUUCUAUCAUUGAAAUAACAAAAACACCAAAAAAAAAGUUGCUGUUCAGUUUCAUCAUUCCUUUUAUCGAAGCUUCAGCUUUCAACUUCUUUAGUAACAUCUUUUGUAGUCUAUUCCGAUGAUAACGGAGCAGCAGAUCAGAUUGAAGAGAACUAAUGUUUUGAAUGAAUGAAACAUCAUCUACGAAAAAAAAAAAAAAAAGAAGUAGAUUUCCCGAAAGACUGAUCAAAUAUAUGGAAUAACUUGUCUUGAAUGGGAAUAUUCUUUGAUAAUAAUUAUAAUAAUAAUAACAACAAAAGCGAUUGCAUUCCACCUAGUUAUUCUAGCAUCCAAAGAAGCGUUUAAUAUAAAAAUAAAAUAAAAUAAAAAGAAGCAAAAUUAGGCCCAGUAAAUCAGUUCUUCUAGUGAGCUUUGAUGCUUCGCAGUUAUCUCAAACUUAAAAAAUAACUCUUCACAGAAGCUCUUUUGUUCAUACAUCAUCCUAGCAAAAUUUGGGGUAAUCCAAAACCAAUUUCUAAUUCUAAUUUCUAAAUAAUCCUAAGCAGAGCUCAACUGAUAGUUGACUAAUUUAGGAAUAUGCUCUAAAAUCGCCCUCCCAAAACAAAAAACAAAAAAAAAAAAGAGAGACUCUAAUGAGAUCAUAAGAAAAUGAAAGAUUACCUUACUGUUGAACACCAUUUAAAUUCCCACUUCAACUUCUCCUUAUAUUUGGACCAAAUAUAUGAGUGGAAAAUUGAAAGAGGAAAGAAGGGUUGGGUUAGUAGAUGAUCAUGGAUAAAAGUUUGAGAGAUGUUGAUCAGUUUUGUAAAAGGAAAGGGCGGAUGUAAAGAAGGGAUAAGGAGGCGGUGUUUGUUUUAAGGGCGAAGACGACGACGACAACGCCGCCGCAAAGUCGGCCCAGAUGUGCUGCACAUGACGAUGGAUUUUAUGAAGUGGGCCGUCCUGCGUGGCCAGGGUUGCGUCGAAUGGACGGACAAAAUUUGAGUGUGGAGCCUCCCAGUCUCGGCGCAUUCAGCUGCUAUUAUUAUAUAGUUAGCCUGUGUUAUUGACUUUAUUUAUAAAUAAAUUUAACUGAAAAUAUGAAUUAAUUAGGGUUGAAACUUUGAGGCCUCGGAUGUCAACCACCAAAUCCUUUGUCGCUUGCGCUAUGGACGGUCGAUUCAGCCUAUUAUAUUCUUAUAUGCGCAACCGACUUGGUAUUUAUAAAUUAGUUUUAAUAAUAAAAUUUUUAAAUCCACGAUUCAUAUUAUUAAGACUUCGUUUAGAAUUGCGUAGAUAUUAUAUUACAUGUUGUGAGAAAGUAGAUGAAAAAAUAUUCGUUUGUUUUCGUACAUAAUAUUACAUUCCACAUAUCCUGAUGAGUAAAACAAAAGCAUAAUCCUGUAUGCUUUUAUCUCAAUUUUAUUUUAUUUAAUAACAUCAAAUAGACCUCGGUACCAAACUAAGCAUCAAUAUGAGUUAGAGCAUUUGAAACUUAUAGAAAUUAAAUUUUAUAAUUUUUUUGAUAUUAUUUACUUUAUGAUCAAACGAUUUGAAAAUUGAUAAAUAAUCCGAUCCUCUAAAAACAUUGGUCAAUUUUGACUGUUUAUUUUAUACCAGCUUGAUAAACUUUAUUAUAAUUUCGAAAUUUUGUUUUCUAUAAGUUUCAAAUGCUCUAUAUCAUAUUUGUGAAUAUGGAUUGUCGAUUCGAAUUUUUUUUUUUUUUAGAAAAAGAUAGCAUGCUAUCCGCUUUGUUUAUCUUUUUUAAAAAUAAAUUUAGCUGGAAAUGUAAAUCAACUAGAAUUCAAACUUAGAUCUUGGGUACCAACCAUCAAGUUCUUUGCCACUUGCGCUGGAACAGUGAGUGAAAAUUUUAUUAUUGAAAACAACAAUGAUAAAGGCUUCUAUAUACAUAAGAGUAUGUAACCUUAUUUAUAUUAAUUUUAUCUCUAUCUAAAAGUUUAGUAAAUAUUUUUUAUACUAAAUUUUUAAAAAAAAUUAAAUUUUUAAAAAAUAUUAUAAUAUUUGAAUAGAGAUAAAAAAGGGCCGAUAAAAAAAGGGUAUCUAGUGAAACUUUUUUUUUUUUUAACCCAAAAGCACUGGGCUUCGGUGUUGCUCCCUCGUGCUUGUUUCAGUAUCGGGGUGUUAAACGGGCCCACGUCACGCCAGCGCAUGGUCCCUUUAAUUGUUUAUAAUAAUUUUUUUAUUUUAAUAUUAAUUAAAGUUAUCCAAAUUUUGAAUAAUUAUUCUUUUUCAAACUUAUUCAGUCAUUAGAUAACUACAUAUAUAAUAUAAAAUUAUUAAAUAAUUAAAAAAUUAAAAUGAUUUUUUGAAAAAAAAUAUUUGUGCCGGUCCCCCGGAUUUGAAAAAAACGACAAAACACAAUACAAUAAAAAUCAGUGUCAUACUAAGCAAACCUCCAAAUAUGUUUGGCACAAAUGAAUAUACGCCAUGUCCGCCUCCUAUGCUUAUAUUUUUGGAGGUAGUCAUAAGAUGAAUCAUGAACGCACACGUGGAUGGAUAAAAUCUUUACAAGAGUAUUGAUUUUGUUUUCUCGGAUGUUGUUUUUACAAAUAGUUAAUAUCUCACAAAAACGAGGAUAUUUUGUUUUCUAGGAUGUUGCUUUUAUUCAACUCAAACUCCUUUGUAUGCACCCUCAAUGCACAGUUGGCACACUUAGUUCUCAAAUAUGUUGAGAAAUAGAGUAAUUUAAGGCCAUAGAAAGAGUAAAAGAUACAGCAAUUUGGCCCCAUAACGAUCCUCUAAUCACAUUAUCAAAUUACAGAACAACAAUAUGUUUGCAGUCCAACGGGCAUUCAAGGGUGUAUAGUUACUAUUAAAGCAAAAGGUAAUGAAGCUACGCAGAAAACAAAUACUGAGUAUUAGCUUCUGAGAUUGUAACGAAAGAUUUCGCCACUUCACCUUCGAAAUACUGAGUAUUAGCUUCUGAGAUUGUAACGAAAGAUUUCGCCACUUCACCUUCGAUGGAGCCAAACAUAAAAGGUACACAGUUCUGCAGUUUCCUCCACCAAAUUACACAAUGUUGUUCAUGUCCUUCAUCUUGUUGAUUAGCUCGUAAGAACUGUGUCACUAAUCACCCAUAUGAACAGACCUAUUUGACUUAUUCUUGUUUUCCCCAGCAUUAGUUAUGAAUAUUCAAGCUAUUACAUGUCAACCUUGCACGACUUUCCUCCAUUCAAACUUCCACAUCAACUUCCUUUUCAUCUGACCCGACAACGAGAUCGGAUGCUGUGUCCUUUUGAUCACUACCAUUCAAAAGAAGAUGUGCACUCUCAUCGCUUAACUGCUGCUUUUGAACAGGCGAGUCUGGUUCUCUGAUAGCAAUCGCAGCUUCUUGCUUCAGCAGUUCCGGUGGCUGAGGAGGCUUCCAGCUUCUGUUAAGCCGCUCAAGGGAUCCCGUUGCAGAAGGUAACCACUUUGGUUCCGCUACUUGAGGUUCGGCCUCUGUACCAUUUUCGGCCUUAUGUCUCCGCCAUGGCUCUGAAUUGUCAAAUGACCCAGUAAUCGGAAUUGAUCUAUUUCCUCGAGCCUCAAAAUUCAAUCCUUGGCCAUUGAAUUGGGGUUUAGGAACAUAACUAGAGUUUGAUUGCUGUUGCUGCAUGACUUCCCACGGCUGUAUUACCAACAAAGUUAACAAGUAAUCAGCACUUUAAUUUUGGCAUGCGCAAGAAUGUAACCUGACUCACUAGUUUUCCUUUGUACUAAUAUUUGGAUAGAAUUUUUGUAAACAGGUACAGCUCAAAUAUACAAUUACUUGCUUAUAUGCCCAAUUAUUGUUAUAGUUUCCAUCUAUGUCAUGUGAAAUAUUCUGUGCAAUAAAACAAAAAUAUUCUGAGCAAUAGAACAAAUACUGUUCAUGUUACGAGGCAAACCGAUUGCUAUAAUAAUGAAGCUUCUUUGCAAAAGUAUCUACAAAAUGCUGCGCAUGUGACAUCUUAACAAGGGGCAUUUAACUCAAGUCGCAUUUUAGAGGAGUAAACGCACGCACAUGUUUUGAGGUGGUAUUUGUGCAAAAAAUCAUAGAUUGCACCUAGAUCAAGAUUUGACUGCAUUGUUGUGUACAAUUUGCUUUUAAUUAUGGAAAUGAAAAAUGACUGUUAUAUAUGUAGGCUCAUUUGAAAGGAAGAAUUCUGAAAUAUCCAUUUAGUCUGCAAAAACCAUUUGUUAGUUAACCUAAAUAAGCAAGCAUGACUAACACUGCAAGAUUUCGACCAAUGCAUGCCUCACUUACAAUAAUAUGUCAACUUAAAUAUUAACCACCAAUCUUGAUCCAUUCUUUAUGAAUUCUCCUUAAAAAUCCAUGUAUUACCAGCAAAAUUUUGUUGAACAUUUGGACAACACAAGUAAAAAAAAAAAAAAAACAUUAUGUUUUGAAUAAGAUUUUCUACAUGCAAACAAAAAGGAAACUACUCAGAGAAAGCAUUUGAAGUCCAUACCUUUGGUCUAGGAGCGAGAAGAGGUUUUGGUAUUGGCUGAUCGGGAUUAGGGGGCAUGUCAUUAAUUUCCUGUUCAUCAAGUUAAAGGAUUAGAGAGGGGGAUGGGGGGGGGGGACUAGGUGAAACCAAAAUCAUAAACAAUGAAAAGUAGUGUUUAACCCCUAGUUAAAUAGCCCACCUUAAUAUUAGGUGGUUUCUCCCCUCUUUGAACCAUUUCUAUGAUCUGCAUGUUAGAGUCUGAUAAUUAGUAUUUACAAGAGAAUGAAAAGCACUAUCUAAAAGCUUUGCAUGGGUUCCCCUUCACAAUGACGGUAUUUAGACAAGAACGGAAAUAAGCUAAUUAAGAGAGAAACUUACCUCCAUAUAUGACUUUGGGUGCGGUGGAUCGAUAGAUGCAAGCGAAGAUGAAGGCCUCACUGUGUAAAAGAAUUUGUGGGAAGAAAAAUAAAAUUUAAUACAGCAUCAGUUAAAUAAGCACUAGAUUUAGAAUGUAACCUGAAUGAGAGUCCGUCUUAUUUGUGUUAUUUAUGCCAUUUACUUUCUCUUGCUGCUAGAAAGAAAAAUUGAACCAGUGUAAAACUUGCUCAGUACUAAUAUAAGAGUUACAGACAAAAGAGACACAGACACAUAAAUCAUAAUGCAACAGGAAAAAGAGUUAUUUACCUUGUUAAAUGAAAUGCUUAAAUUCGAUUGACUGGCCUCAGAUAUUCCCUGAGAACUAUUAGUUGUCCCUGCAAAUGCAAAGAAGUUCCUUUUAAAGCUUAAAUAUGGAAUAAAAUAAGUAUGUAGUUGUACUGAUUGGCAUUGAUAGUUUGCUUUCUGCAUCCCUUGCUUCUUCGAAAAAAGAAAAAAUAAAUAAAAAUAAAAAAGUAUAAUAUUAGAUAUGGUUUAUGAACAGUGAUACACAUGAAAAAUUGAUAUUUACAUAAGGUAUUAUUUGCCUAACACACAGGAAACAUAAAUAUUUAUGUUAAUUUUUACACACUAAUUUGUUGAUGUGUUCAAACAGUAUUUAGUUUGUCUGUAUCAAUAGAUACUUAAAGCAUUUGUCAUCUCUUUAUCAACAGAUACUGAAAGCAUUUACCAACUACUAGUACACUAAGGGUGUGUUUGGUUUGAUGUAAAAAUAGGUUGAAUAUAUUUUUUUCGGUCCGAAAAUAGUUUUUGGAUCGUUUGGUUCGAUAUAAAAAAAAUUUCGGCAAAAAACACUCUUACAUAUUUUGGGAAAAAGUCCUAUUUUCGUUUUCCACAUGAAAGCGGCAGAAAACAAAAAUGAAGGAGGCAAAAUUACGCGGCUCAUGGCAAUAGUCUUGUGGGGUCCACGAGCUGAAAUGGCCUCGUGGACCGCGUGAGAGGGAGGUCCAAGGAGGACCUCUCUCUCUAUGUAUAUGUACAUAUACAUAUACAUAUGUACAUGUAUAAUUUUAUUUAUAAAUAUAUAUUUAUUUAUUAUAUAUACAGAGUAUUUUAUUUUUUUAUAGAGAUAUUAUUAUAUAUUAUUUUAUUUUUAAAUAUAUAAUGAUUUAUUAAUACCCUUAAAUAUAUAACUAGUAUAUAUUAUAUUAUAUGCUUAUUAUAUAAUAUAAUUGUAAAUAUAUUUAAUUUACAAACAUAAAUUAUAAUAUAUAUAUAUAGUAAUUGUUAUAUAUAAUUAAUCUAUAUAAUAAAACAUUAUAUUAAAUAGUUUUUUAUCCAUUUUCCUUCUUCUUUCGUUUCUUUUCAAUCAAACAACCGUUAUGAAAAACUAUUUUUCUUUUCCUACAAACCUAACACUAAAGAGCGUAAAAUUUGUUUUCCUCCGAAAAAAUUUUUUCCACCGAAAUUUUUUUCACAGUUUUACGU